Molecule: long non-coding RNA, 190 nt
Organism: Dipodomys ordii (Ord's kangaroo rat)
Lineage: Eukaryota; Metazoa; Chordata; Mammalia; Rodentia; Heteromyidae
Exons: 3
Source: RefSeq, a predicted model, not a curated record
ACUUCCCUGAUGACCCAGGAGUGCAGUGGGACACGGAACGUGUGGCCAGCAUUCUCCUCCAGUACAUAGCAGUCAAUGGUAUCAACUUGGUGGUGACUUUCGAUGCUGGAGGAGUCAGUGGUCACAGCAAUCACAUUGCUUUGUACACCACUGUGAGGGCCCUGCAUUCAGAAGAGAAGUUCCCUAAAGG